CCAAAUGACACGAUCAAAGAAUGUGAACUGAAAAGGAGAAGAGGGAAAAAAAAGAGAAAGGAAGCAAAUCCGGAACUACGUCCCUGCCAGUCUCAUAUAAGGGAUAUUAGAAGACGAAUUUAUUGUGGUUAAUUCUUCAAUUCUUUAGAUGACAUCAAUAAGGUAUCCUCUUCUCGACCUCAGGGAAGCAGGAACAAAGAGCCACUUACGGGGAGUCUCAACUCCUCUCUUUGCAAAUCGGAUAAUCAAUCCUUGUCUGAAGCAAAUAGCAGGAAUGAUAGUCUGCAAAAAAACAGUUCAUACGUUUAUCCACAUAUUACUAAAAUUUUUAAUACUCUAUGAGCAUUUAAGUCAGUCUGACAAAUAAAAUUUCUAAGCUUUAUUUAAGUUUUUUUAAAUAAUAACUACUCUUCUCCAUCAUGUUCCAACAGAACAUUACAGAAUUUUGAUGUUUCUCCUUUUUUAUUGAAGAAAUCUCAAAUUUCAGAAUUUGAGAUGUUUAUAGCUGAUCUGGCUAAUAUUCUUUCUUCUUUUUCUGUUACUGAUUAGAACUAACAAUGGCGAAUCAAAAGCGAUCUACCUCUUCGCAAACUUACUAAUACUCAAGUAGAAUGUCCGUUCUUUGAAGGCCAGAACUUUUGAUUUUAUUGAUUUAAUUAAUGAAAACUCUCCAGAUGUGUUAUGUUUGUCGGAAACUAGUAUUCCUGCAAAUCUUGUCAAUACUUAUACUUGUCCUAUUAAAGGGUACAUAUUUAUUAACUCUCCUAGGGCAGACUCCAGGGAAGGAUGCGCUAGAAUUUUGAUUAGAAACGAUUUGAUCUAUUCUAGAUUUAACUUACAAGUUUUCGAAUCCUUAUACAGGGAAAAUAAUGUUGAUUUUGUAGGUGUGAACAUUUUACAAAAAAAUAAGUAAUUUGUUACAAUUCUUUCAAUUUAUAAUCCUCCAAAAUCAUCUUCUCGGGAUGUUGAUCCAAAUUUUUGGUCAAAAUUUUUUUGCUACAUGAAUAUUAUGAAGGAUACAAUUAUUUGUGGGGACUUUAACUCUUAUAUCCCUUUAUGGUCUACUUUACCUACAAAAUACAAUGAAGGACGUAGUUCAGAAACUGCUAUUAUUCUCUCAAUCUUUAUUAAUAUAAGUAAUGGCUCUCCCACUUGGCGGAUGGAUCCAAUAAAAGUAUGAUUGACUACACUUUUGUUUCUUCGACUUUGGCACUUUCCUCUUAUAGUUCGGUUGUAGACUAUACUUACACUAGCGAUCAUUACCCGAUUUUUAUUAAGAUUAAUGGUCUCUCUACUCUUUCUGUGGAAAGCAGAACUUCGCUCGUUCUUUCGGAGAUUAUGUGGGAUGACUUUUCUGGGAGAAUUUCAGGGAAGUUGGAAUCAAUUUCCAUUUUAGAGAAAUGUUUAGAGGAGGGAUAUAAUGAAUUCAUCUCUUUAAAGAAUAUACUAAUUGAAUGUGGAGCUAGGAUAAAUAAAGGAGAAAAAAGUAAAGGUUUCCCCCAGCUAUUUGGUGUCUCCAGUAUGCGAUUAUUAAAGGAAAGAAAAACUGCAUUCAAGGUGCUUCUACGAAGAUAUCAACCCACGUUUAAAUGUAUCCCUGGUAUGGCGCUCGCUCACUGUUUUUAAAAAUAGAAGAGCUAUAUCUCUCAGACCAAACCCUGUGAGCAAAGAAAAUACUGCAAAAGCCGCUUUUAACAAGAUCGUUCCUACAAUCGCGUGCGAUUCUUUAUUACCACAUUUAUCGGAAAAUUAUAUUGUUUCUGCGCUCCUUGUUACGCAUCAUCU
Molecule: long non-coding RNA, 1785 nt
Organism: Odontomachus brunneus
Lineage: Eukaryota; Metazoa; Arthropoda; Insecta; Hymenoptera; Formicidae
Exons: 3
Source: RefSeq, a predicted model, not a curated record